This 440-nucleotide ribosomal RNA is filed under the name uncultured bacterium. Its description in RNAcentral is "bacterial SSU rRNA". It matches the Rfam family "Bacterial small subunit ribosomal RNA", at positions 338 to 770 of the family's 1533-position model. The record is from RNAcentral.
CCUACGGGAGGCAGCAGUGGGGAAUUUUGGACAAUGGGCGAAAGCCUGAUCCAGCCAUGCCGCGUGAGUGAAGAAGGCCUUCGGGUUGUAAAGCUCUUUCGGCGGGGACGAAACGGUCCGUGCCAACACCACGGAUCAAUGACGGUACUCGCAGAAGAAGCACCGGCUAACUACGUGCCAGCAGCCGCGGUAAUACGUAGGGUGCGGGCGUUAAUCGGAAUUACUGGGCGUAAAGCGUGCGCAGGCGGCCUCUUAAGUCAGAUGUGAAAUCCCCGGGCUUAACCUGGGAACUGCGUUUGAAACUGGGAGGCUAGAGUGUGGAAGAGGGGGGUGGAAUUCCAGGUGUAGCAGUGAAAUGCGUAGAGAUCUGGAGGAACACCGAUGGCGAAGGCAGCCCCCUGGGCUAACACUGACGCUCAUGCACGAAAGCGUGGGGAGCA